This 26-nucleotide non-coding RNA is filed under the name Homo sapiens (human). The record is from RNAcentral. Lineage: Eukaryota; Metazoa; Chordata; Mammalia; Primates; Hominidae.
UACAGAUGAGCUUUGGGGUCUUGCCA